AACGUAGGUGGCAAGCGUUAUCCGGAAUUACUGGGCGUAAAGCGCGUGUAGGCGGCCAGGUAAGUCCGUUCUGAAAGCCCGGGGCUCAACCCCGGGAGGCGGAUGGAUACUGCUUGGCUCGAGUCCGGAAGAGGCGAGUGGAAUUCCCGGUGUAGCGGUGAAAUGCGCAGAUAUCGGGAGGAACACCAAUGGCGAAGGCAGCUCGCUGGGACGGUACUGACGCUGAGACGCGAAAGCGUGGGGAGCAAACAGG
This 253-nucleotide ribosomal RNA is filed under the name uncultured bacterium. RNAcentral describes it as "partial 16S ribosomal RNA". It matches the Rfam family "Bacterial small subunit ribosomal RNA", at positions 524 to 776 of the family's 1533-position model. The record is from RNAcentral.